GAUGAACGCUGGCGGCGUGCCUUAUACAUGCAAGUCGAGCGGCCGGACGAGAAGCUUGCUUUUCUGAUGUUAGCGGCGGACGGGUGAGUAACCCGUGGAUAACCUACCUAUAAGACUGGGACAACGUCGGGAAACCGGAGCCAAUACAGGAUAAUAUUUUGAAACGCAUGGUUCAAAAGUGAAAGACGGUCUUGAUGUCACUUAUAGAUGGAUCCGCGCUGCAUUAGCUAGUUGGUAAGGUAACGGCUUACCAAGGCAACGCUGCAUAGCCGACCUGAGAGGGUGAUCAGCCACACUGGAACUGAGACACGGUCCAGACUCCUACGGGAGGCAGCAGUGGGGAAUUUUCGGCAAUGGGCGAAAGCCUGACGGAGCAACGCCGCGUGAGUGAUGAAGGUCUUCGGAUCGUAAAACUCUGUUAUUAGGAAAGAACAGAAGUGUAAGUAACUGUGCACAUCUUGACGGUACCUAAUCAGAAAGCCACGGCUAACUACGUG
This 497-nucleotide ribosomal RNA is filed under the name uncultured bacterium. RNAcentral describes it as "partial 16S ribosomal RNA". It matches the Rfam family "Bacterial small subunit ribosomal RNA", at positions 28 to 507 of the family's 1533-position model. The record is from RNAcentral.